Non-coding RNA from Vicugna pacos (alpaca), 90 nucleotides. The record is from RefSeq and is a predicted model, not a curated record. Lineage: Eukaryota; Metazoa; Chordata; Mammalia; Artiodactyla; Camelidae.
CAUUUUUCUUUACCACCACACACACAGACUGAAUGCAUCUUUGGACAUGUGGCUGGCUCUGGGAUGAAAUGUUUCCGGGGCACUGAAUUG